Molecule: unclassified non-coding RNA, 278 nt
Filed under: Vibrio parahaemolyticus
Lineage: Bacteria; Pseudomonadati; Pseudomonadota; Gammaproteobacteria; Vibrionales; Vibrionaceae
Source: RNAcentral
AAACGAUGAUUACUCACGAUGAGUGUCCACACAGAUUGAUAGUUCACAAGCGCAAGCUUGUAGCUAACAUAGCUCUUUAACAAUUUGGAAAGCUGACAAAACAACAAUUUAUUGUUGUUUGUAAAGUUCUCAAUGUUUGUCUUUAUGACAAACACCAAAAUAACACAUUCAAGUGUUCUUGGAAUUUGAGUCCGGCAAAAUCGAGUCUGCAUCAUGUAUAAAAAUUGCAGACAACUUUGGUGACUUGUUCAUCAACUCGAAACUCCUUCGGGUUGUAU